RNAcentral lists this ribosomal RNA (406 nucleotides) under uncultured bacterium. RNAcentral describes it as "partial 16S ribosomal RNA". It matches the Rfam family "Bacterial small subunit ribosomal RNA", at positions 29 to 526 of the family's 1533-position model. The record is from RNAcentral.
AUUGAACGCUGGCGGCAGGCCUAACACAUGCAAGUCGAACGAGUGGCGGACGGGUGAGUAAUGUCUGGGAAACUGCCCGAUGGAGGGGGAUAAAUACUGGAAACGGUAGCUAAUACCGCAUACCAUCGGAUGUGCCCAGAUGGGAUUAGCUUGUAGGUGGGGUAACGGCGCACCUAGGCGAAGCUCCCUAGAUGGUAUGAGAGGAUGACCAGCCACACUGGAACGGAGACACGGUCCAGACGCCUACGGGAGGCAGCAGUGGGGAAUAUUGCACAAGGGGCGCAAGCCUGAUGCAGCCAUGCCGCGUGUAUGAAGAAGGCCUUCGGGUUGUAAAGUACUUUCAGCGAGGAGGCGUUACUCGCAGAAGAAGCACCGGCUAACUCCGUGCCAGCAGCCGCGGUAAUAC